GACGGAGGAUGCAAGCGUUAUCCGGAAUGAUUGGGCGUAAAGCGUCCGCAGGUGGCAGUUCAAGUCUGCUGUCAAAGACCGGGGCUUAACUUCGGAAAGGCAGUGGAAACUGAACAGCUAGAGUAUGGUAGGGGCAGAGGGAAUUCCUGGUGUAGCGGUGAAAUGCGUAGAGAUCAGGAAGAACAUCGGUGGCGAAGGCGGUUCUCUGGGAAUAUCCUGACGCUGAGGAGCGAAAGCGUGGGGAGCGAACAGG
Molecule: ribosomal RNA, 253 nt
Filed under: uncultured bacterium
Lineage: Bacteria
Description: partial 16S ribosomal RNA
Rfam family: Bacterial small subunit ribosomal RNA
Source: RNAcentral